Long non-coding RNA from Haemorhous mexicanus (house finch), 379 nucleotides. RefSeq lists it as uncharacterized. The record is from RefSeq and is a predicted model, not a curated record. The transcript has 2 exons. NCBI's taxonomy places the organism in Eukaryota, Metazoa, Chordata, Aves, Passeriformes, Fringillidae.
GAAGGAGGGCGGGAGGUAGGGAAGAGGGACAGAAGAAAGGGAAAGAGCGGCUCCAGCUGCUGCUGGCACGCCGACCACAGCUCUGCUCCGGCGGCGGGGCGGAGAAGGGGACUGUUCAAACCUGCUCGGGACUGAGCACCAGGCAGAGCACCAGCAGCUCGUACCUGUGGCCACCGGGCUGGCCGUGGGCUGUGGCAUCUCCAGUGCUGGAGAGACUGAUAACAGGCUGGGUGAGCCGAGCUACAGCCCAACAAGGGGACUUUCUGAGUUUGUCAUCUCUUCAGAUUGGCAACAUUUUUGUUUAAUAUUGAAUUGUUUAAUAGUGUUUAUGUUUUGUGCUGGUGAAUGCUUUGCCUUUGAAAUAAACAGGUUUUUUCUA